This is an RNA transcript of Crotalus tigris (Tiger rattlesnake), 7565 nucleotides long. It is a transcript of the gene named zinc finger protein 318-like, with no coding region annotated. Lineage: Eukaryota; Metazoa; Chordata; Lepidosauria; Squamata; Viperidae. The record is from RefSeq and is a predicted model, not a curated record. The transcript has 11 exons.
CGGGGGCCUUUUAUGCCGCCGCUGCCUGUGCAUGAUGUACCGUCCCGGUUGCGGCCGCUUGAACAUGAUUUCCUCCAGCCGGCCCAAAGACAGCAGUAGUUCAGGCUCCCGAUGUUCCCGGUCCGGUGCUUCCACCACCCCCACCACCGGGUCAGCUCGAGGCCGUAGCCCGCGCCGCUCCCGUUCUCCAUCUCCUCGGGGCCGCCGCCACCGCUCGCCAUCCAGCGGUCGCUCUUCUCGUCGCUCACCAUCCCCUCGUCGCAGUAGUAGGAGACAUUCCCCAGGUCAAUGUUCACGUUCCCCAGGUCGGCGCUCACGUUCCCCAGGUCGACACUCACGUUCCCCAGGUCGACACGCACGUUCUCCAGGUCAACACUCACGUUCUCCAGGUCGGCGUUCUAGAAGUCAACACUCUGAAUCUUCAGUGGAACAGAAUUUGCGGAUCACUGUUGGCAAUGAUCGUUAUGGUAUUGAUACACCUGAAAGAAAGAGGUUAUGUGAUAGGCUGGGCUCACCGGUUGACAGCCUGAGUGAUGUGGAUAGGGAUGAUUUGGCUGAUGGACCAAUAUUUAGCAGAAGCCUUUUACAUCGUCGGAGCCUUGAGAGAUAUCCUUCUCGUGAGGAAAAUCAGGCUAGUCCUUUCAGUAGGAGACAUGAUGAGGACUAUCACAAUAGGGAUGUUUUCCUCCAUCAAUCAGACUAUAGAAUGAACUAUGAGGAUAAACCAAGAGAAACUGAUAGGGAAGGUGAACUUAGAAAAUCCUUAUAUGCAUUGGACGAUAGAGGGCGGGAGCCAAAAAGACCUCGAUAUGACAGAGAUGACAGAUUACUUGAUAUGAACAUGGAACCACAGGGUUUCUUGUCAGGAACACGAAAGUACCGUAAACGAAGUUUUAGUAGAAGUCCAAGUCCAACAUAUCUCAAUGAAGAUUUUCGCGAACUUGAAAGUGCUAGAAGGAAAAGAAAAGAAGAAGAACUGAGCAGAAAUCUGAGUCAUGAACUAUCUGGCAAUAGUUACGUAAUGACUGGUUCAACUAAUCCAACGAAAUCUUCAGAACCUCAGUACCUUUAUAGACCUGAUGAGGCACCAGCAAUGCCCAAAAAAUCCAUCUUGAAGAAACGUGUGGAUGAUCAUUCUGUGCAGCCGGAAGUCUUUUCUUGCAGUUCUUCCUCUAUUAAAGAGCCCCCACUUCUUUCAAAUCCUUCUUCUUUGCCCCAGCGUAGUAGUGUUGCUCCUUUUUCAUUGGAAGUAGAGAAUUUCCUCAAACAAUUCAACAAAAGUGCAGUUGCAGAGUCUACCAGUAAGGAAACGCAAGGCACUGAGCGUGACUGGAGACCAUUUCCUGGUCUACAUCAAAAUAUACUUCCUUCCGAACAAAACUCUGAAAAUUUUUUAAAACAGAAAGAGCCUCAUGAGUCAACAUCAGAAUGUGUUGACCAGCCUGGUGAUUUCCUGCUUCCUCAUGAAAGAGCCAGCCAGGAUGGAAGUGGCUUUUCACGCAUUCUGGGCAUUUUGGGGGUCAUGGCAGACUCUAAUAAUACGGAAGAAAAGAGAAGAAACAGUUUUCCUGAUGAUCUUGAGGAUGAAGAGAAAUUUCUUUAUGGUGAUGAUGAUGAUGAUGAUGAUGAUUGUAAUAUUAGCUCUCCCUCUACUCAAAAAUUAACACUGAGUGAUGGGAAGGAAUCUGUAAGCCAAAAAGUAGGUUCUCCACCUCCUUCAUCUGUAAAACCAGAAACAUUAGAUGAAUCCAGACCAGAGUAUGAGAAGAUUCAUAAUUUGCUUAAAACGAUUGGUCUUGACAUUGGGGUGGCAGAAAUAGGUAAACUUGCUGCUCGUACUCAGGAACGUCUUCAUGGAAAAAAGUCAUCUCGUUCACCUGAUCAUUAUUCAGUAGAUUCUUCCAAGCCAGAAAUGUGGGAGAGGCACCGCAGUCACAGUGAAACUUAUUCUCCAGAAUCAAACCAGAAGCACACACUCUCACCUACUGCUUCUUAUCCAUUAUCUAAAGUUAUACCCUCUGUUACAAAAUCUGAGCACAACACAAACAAAAUGUUAGGACAAGAUCAUCCUGUUGACCCAGUUGAGCAAUCUGUUCCUCCGAUAUCUCUAAUUCCAUCAGCUCCACCAUCUCUUCCUAAUUUGUCACCUAUACCCACCUCUGUUUCCCAGUAUAGACUUUCACGCUUUUCACCUUUUCCUACACCACAAUUACCACAAAACUAUCCUCCUCCCACAAUGGCACCUCCUGGCUAUGAUGCAUAUGGACACUACAUGGCUUAUGCAGCUUCUGGCUGGCCCAUGUAUGCUCAGCAGACUGAUCCUGGGCUUACAGAUAUGCAUGGGCUUGUCACACUAACGGUGCCACCAAAUCCAACACGACCCAAUCUUAGAGUUAUUGAGACAGUUUCCACAGCAAAAGGGACUCCUGAUAUCAAAAGAGAUGACUCUGUGCUUGUGCAAAUCCCCACAGUAGCUUCUUAUUCAAAAGUACAUCCUCAGUUCUCUCAACCUUCACUAAGAGGUUCCAAGGAAAGAAUAUCUGAUGAAAAAAACCGAGCUUCUAGGAAACAAAAGGUAAUAGAGGAAAUUGAGAAGUUGAAAGCUGAACAAGAAGCACGGCAAAAAAAACUACAUUAUCUCAGAGCUGAGUUAAACAGACUUUCGAAACAACAAGGGGAAUUGCUGCGGAAGAAACGGAGGGAGAAGGAUGGACACAAAGACCCCUUGCUAAUAGAAGUCAACCGACUGCAAGAUAACAUUGUGAAGGAAAUAACUCAGCUGAAGAUGAAUGCUGAUGCUGCAGAGAAGAAACAGUCUGAACUUGACAAGGUAGCCCAGAUCCUGGGGAUUAAUAUUUUUGAGAAAUCCCGGAAACUGUCUUCAGAAAGUAAAGACUCUUCAGAAAAUGCAAGAAUUCAGGAGAAAACUUCUGAUCUAGUCAAGGAAUCAAAAACUAAUAAUGACAGAUUCAGGGGAAAGAGUCCUAAGCCUAUGGAAUCUUCUUCACAGCCAUUGCAAAGGACCAGUAUUUAUGACUACUAUGAUACAGGGAACCAUUGGUGUAAAGAUUGCAAUACUACCUGUGGAACUAUGUUUGAUUUCUUUACACAUAUGCAUAAUAAGAAACAUAGACAGACCCUGGAUCCAUAUAACAGACCUUGGGCAGCAAAGACUCAAAUUGAAACAAAGCAGGAAGUCACAAAACGAAUUGACAAAAUACCCGUUCCAGCCAAAGGUUCUGAAUUUCUUAUCCCAGUCACUGGAUAUUACUGCCAACUCUGCAGUGAAUUCUUUGGAGACCAGAUAUCAGCAGAACAACAUGUGAAAAGUCAUCUACAUAAUGAGAAAUAUAAGAAACAUGUGGAUGAGAAUCCUCUCUAUGAAGAAAGGCGAAAUCUGGAUCAUCAGGCAGGAUUAUCUGUGAUUCAGGAAACUGAACGCAGGCUGAGACGGAAACUGUGUGAAAAACAAAAAGAGGAAAAAGAUGAGAAGACAACAAAAAUAGCGAAGAAAGAAGAAACAAAGAAUAUUAAAGAACUAGGAGAUGGGAAUAAUGAAUAUGAAAUUAGUAAAAAGAAAGAAAUCCCUAAUGGUGAAAAAUGUGGGAUUAAACUUAAAUUGAAAAAAGAUGACAAAGAAAUAGAAAAGAAGGAAGACAGAAAAGAGGAAUCUGAAAAGGAGUCAAAACUAACAACUUUUGGAAAAUUCAGUUGGAGAAAGAGUGAGAGAGAUGAAAAAAAUCAGGGGAAAGAUGUAGCUGUUUCUAAAGAAGAGAGCCCUGAGGAAAGUAAAGAUAAAGAAAGUAAGUCCCAAAGCGGAAAACAAAAUUCAAAGCCUAUUGCAAUUAAGUUAUCUGGAAAAACGGUUAUUCCACAUACAAGCCCCUGGACACCAGUUGUUUCAACUUCAUCGCAAGCCAAAAUCCGCCCCAAUUUACCAAUCCCAGUGAUGGUUCUAAGGAAGACUGCAGUUACAACAGUAAGCAAGCCAGCACCCCUAAAUACUUUUUUGUCUAUAAAAUCUUCUGGUACCACUGCCAAACCUUUGCCGGUGGUCAAAGAGGGAAAUCCAGACAUUGUUUUGCCACCAGAUAUUAUAUCAAAAGCAUUUGGGGGAGAAGUAGUAGUUUUAAAGGGACCACAGGAGGAUAUAAAGGUACCUGAAGAAGCAGAGGAAGGGGAUCAUGAAAGUGAGACAAAGGCCAUGGAACAAGCAAAUGUAACGAAGGCCCAGGAGCACGCAGAGGUAGUGGCAAAAGCUCAGGCCAAGGCACGGGAGCUUGCAGCAAUGGUGAAAAAACAAGAUGUCUCACAAAUGACAAACGCAAAUGAACAGUCUCUGACUUUUGAGAGGCCCCAUAGGCGCCCUCCUCUACUGCCGCUACCUCCAGGACCACCACUGUCACUAUCUGUACCACAGCCACCACCCAUAGUAUUUGCCCCUCCACCCCCUCUGCCACCAAAACAACUGGUUAUUCUGGCAGAUGAUAUGGCACCCGGUGUAUCUGAGGAUGAUAAGAACAUAUUGGAGAUGCCCAUGUGUCCUCGCCCCUUGCCACCUCCAUCUGUUUUUGGAGAGCAUGUUAAAACAUUAAAGAAAAAGAACUCUUCUCUGGCUGCCGGUAAUGCUAAAGAUCUGUAUGACAUUUUUUACAAUAGUAGUGGGAUGAAUCCAGCUGAGAGCAAGCUAGUGAAUUCUGCAGUUUCAGAUAAAGGAAAAUGGAAUCCUACUGAGAAGGAGAAAAAUGCAAACCUACAGGUAAAUUCCCAGUCAAGUUGUAACCCUUUUUCAGAGGAAUCCCUUUGCAGUGUAUACACUUCCUCAGCUAGGAACCUAGAAACAGAGGAAGUAAAAGAUGAGAAAAUGGUGACAACCGAUGAAGAAAUUAUUGAAAUCAAAGCCAGUGUCGAGAGGGACUUAGAUAAAGUCUCCUUUUCAGAUAUACAGUCUACAUUGUCAGAAGCAGAUGAUUUAGCAAGUAGUACCUCUUAUCCAUUCCAUAAUGAGGAAGAAAUGGGAAUUCCUGUUCCAUCUGAAUUUAACAAGAAAUUAUCCGAACCUGAGAAAACUGAGUUAGCUGUGCAGAUAGAAAAAAUGAGCCCUCUUCCUUUGGAAGGCUUUAAUGAGCCAUCUGUUAGCCUUGAGACAACAGAACAUGACAUUUCUGAUGAUCGAUCCGUCACACAAUUCUCAGAAAUCUCUAACAAUCUUCUAGAAACUCUCUCUGAUUCUGCGCAAAAUGUCAGUUAUUCUAAAGAAGAAUCAACUGAUCUAAAACUAGACACUAAGGAAUGCAAUAGUGGUAAAAGUCCUCAGCCUUCAGAUUCAGAGCUAAACAAAGAUGAAUUAAACUCUUUCCUUACAAACAGUGAACAAGAGGAUUUGAAUGGUUCUCAGUUAAAGGGUGGUGAGGAUUUCAGUGUAGUUAAUAUUCUAAAAUCUGAAGAGAUUACAGAUGAGAACUUUGUUAAUGUAACAACAAUAAGCACCACAAUAGAGAAACAUGAACAAAUCAAUCAGUUCCCAUUAAGCUGUGAAACCAAGGAACUCCAAGUGGGAAAAACAGAAGCAUUGGAUAGUAUUUCUUCUACAAAUGAAAUUAAACCCAGUUAUGUGGAAUUUAUGUUUAUAAAACAUGAUACACAAAAAUCUUCUGUCUCUGAUUUGGAAUUAAGUGGCAAUGAAGAGAGAAGAACUGUAGAAACAGAAAGUGCUAAUUUUUCAACUAUACAGCCAGAAAUGGGCCAAGAAAUACUAGAUCCUCUUCCAACAGAAAUCAGUAUUGGGCAUCUUGGAGAGGUGACUCUUUCCUUCACAGAUCUGAAUACUGAAGUAUUGAAUACCUCAGCAGCUGAUAAUUUUGACUUAAACAAUACAUAUCCAGAACUUAGUUUUGAACAGUCUACUACUUUUUCUCUGGAUUUAGAAAAUGAAGGAGUCUCUCCAAAAUCUGAUGAAACAAAGACUAUAGAUUCUCCCAGACUGAAACCAAAUUUGGAAUUAGAAACCAUUGAUUUCACUCUGGGAAAUAUUUCAGUGGAACAUGAAGUGGUAGAUAUUCUGCCAACUGAAAUUUUAAACGAGGACAAUGCAGACAGUCCAAAGUUAGAAAUGGUUGCACCUAUUUGUUUAGAGUCUAGCAAAAUGAGUGAAUUGGACACUGACCCACCAGUGAUUGAAUCUGAAAUAAUUAAUUUUGUUGCAUUUACCCCUGAUGAUCAAGAGGAGAAAUUUUGCUCCAUGGUUUCAGAUGCAAUUAUUCCAUAUGUGGUGUCUUCUGCAUCAAAGAAUGACGUGGCAGAAGUAAGCAUGCCCCUUGUUCAAUUGCAGGAUAUGUCUUCUGUUUCCAUGCCCCAACCCCCCUAUAGUAGCAAAGCAGACACGCCUGAUAAACUGUUGUGGAGCUAUAGUGGGGAAAAUGUACAAAACCAAGCUGUGACAUGCAUGGAAUGCAUCCUUCCAAAGCUAAAGGAAUCUGUAGAAGUGGGGGGUUCAGGUGACAGUGAGUUGUAUAGUUUCAAGAAUCAAAUGCAGACAUCCAUAGAUAAACUAAAAAAGACAGAGGAAGAAAAGAAUGAUGAUAAAUGUGAAGUUAAAAAUAAGUUGGCUUCAGAAGUAACUGACAUAUCUGCAGAGCAACUGGUAAGUACAGACAAAAUUGUUACAAAUCUCUAAUUGUUACAAAUCUCUAAGUAGCAAUUGUUGACAUUUUGUAAAUAUUAUAUUAUAGCUUAAUAAGUUGAAAAUAUAGCUUGCAAUAGUCUUUCUCAAAAAAACCUAAAAUUCUGCCUAAAAUGUAAGCUGUAUUGUAUAUAUCUGAUUGUGUAAAAUAUUUGUUUUUCAGUCUUGGACUUCCAGCCAUUAAAAAUGGAUUUCUCAUCCGUAGUAUGUGUUUCAGCUAUGGUUUGGGUUUUUUUUUUAAUUAUUAUUUCUGUUAAACUGUGACUGUACUUUUUACAUUUUUCUUUGACUUUUUAUGGUUUCUGAUUUAUACAGCUUUUGUAAAUAACAUUCCAAGUGCAACACUGACAAGUGCAAGGACAUGUGUUCAGGACUUGAGAAAAAAAGAAGGCUCUUGCUGAACCAUUUAAGCAGAAAGUUUCUUUGAAACAAUUUGCAUGUUUCAUUGCACAAAAUGUAAAAUGCAUGAAAAGUGUUCUGCAUUUUUCAUCAUGCAGAAGAUUGUUCUGCAAUUUUUUACUUGUUAUUAUCUUGUUGAACUACACCUGUAAUCAAGACUGAUGCCAUAUUGUAUAAAAUCCUGUGUGGAUGCCAUCUCACUGAGCAAAGGAGAAAUAUCUAUCGACUCACUUUUGGAGAAAGAAAAUCUUUGCAGCUGCCUAACUCAGAAGAAAUGGAAGAUCUGAACUUUGCUCUCUGGAUUGGAUUCCCAUCAUAUAACCAGUCAUUACAUGCCUGAAUGAAUCCCUGAGCUACAAAAAUACUGUUUUGUGAAGGUUUUCAGUUAUACAACUUGUCAAGAAACGCAGUAAUGCUUGCAUGGAUUUAUCUAAAAGAUUUUAUCUGUAAAUCUAAAAUAAACCCAUGAUGAUCUGCGACAUGA